RNAcentral lists this ribosomal RNA (236 nucleotides) under uncultured bacterium. Its description in RNAcentral is "partial 16S ribosomal RNA". It matches the Rfam family "Bacterial small subunit ribosomal RNA", at positions 99 to 334 of the family's 1533-position model. The record is from RNAcentral.
CGCACGGGUGAGUAACGCGUAUGCAACUUACCUAUCAGAGGGGGAUAACCCGGCGAAAGUCGGACUAAUACCGCAUGAAGCAGGGGCCCCGCAUGGGGAUAUUUGCUAAAGAUUCAUCGCUGAUAGAUAGGCAUGCGUUCCAUUAGGCAGUUGGCGGGGUAACGGCCCACCAAACCGACGAUGGAUAGGGGUUCUGAGAGGAAGGUCCCCCACAUUGGUACUGAGACACGGACCAA